UACGGAGGGUGCAAGCGUUAUCCGGAUUCACUGGGUUUAAAGGGUGCGUAGGCGGGUAGGUAAGUCCGUGGUGAAAUCUCUGAGCUUAACUCAGAAACUGCCGUGGAUACUAUUUGCCUUGAAUAUUGUGGAGGUGAGCGGAAUAUGUCAUGUAGCGGUGAAAAUGCUUAGAUAUGACAUAGAACACCAAUUGCGAAGGCAGCUCACUACACAAUGAUUGACGCUGAGGCACGAAAGCGUGGGGAUCAAACAGG
RNAcentral lists this ribosomal RNA (254 nucleotides) under uncultured bacterium. Its description in RNAcentral is "partial 16S ribosomal RNA". It matches the Rfam family "Bacterial small subunit ribosomal RNA", at positions 524 to 776 of the family's 1533-position model. The record is from RNAcentral.